UGAAUUCAUAAAACUUUUGUAAAUAACUAACACAUAUAUAAACAUAUUACAACAAUAUUAAUUAAUAAAAUAUUAUAUUAAAAUAUAAAAUUUUAAACAAAAUAACUUAAUUAAUAUUAAGCUUCAACCAAAAUACCAUAUUAUUCCAUAAAGCGAUUUUUCGUAAUGCAUAUAUGAUAUACUAGUGCAUUUCAAAGUAAAACUAGCUCUCCUCAUUUUUAAUUUGUAGAUUAGAGAUAAAAAAAUUGUUGAAAUCAGGAGAUAUUAAUACUUGUAAAUAUAUUAGAUCAGAACAAGAAAGUAAAAGAGAAACAUAAAAUAUUGCUAAAAACUAACUUUUAUCGAUGAUAUUAAUACUCGUGAAUAUAAGAACAAAAAAUAAUUGUACGAAAAGACAUCAUCAACAACAACAAUCAUCUUCAAUUACACAAAAAAAAUUGGACAAUAUUUGGAAAUUUUAAAGGUUCCGGAUCAAAC
This 477-nucleotide long non-coding RNA is filed under the name Brassica napus (rape). RNAcentral's name for it is "long non-coding RNA (BNAP_LNC025930)". Lineage: Eukaryota; Viridiplantae; Streptophyta; Magnoliopsida; Brassicales; Brassicaceae. The record is from RNAcentral.